AGAACAACUAGGACUGAGCAUGACCAUACGAGAGAUCACUUGGAUUUGUAUUCAAUCGUCAGUGAUCAUCUCGAUGCUAUAGUUGUAUGAAGGUUCUUUGACCUGAGAUUAUACUACUGCUCGUAGUGAGGCUACUAAAAUUUGACUGAUAUAUAAACAUGGAUCUCAAUGAGCCCUUAUAGUGGAUGUUGACGAUAGUUGAUCCACUGU
This 210-nucleotide long non-coding RNA is filed under the name Elaeis guineensis (African oil palm). RNAcentral's name for it is "long non-coding RNA (EGUI_LNC061970)". Lineage: Eukaryota; Viridiplantae; Streptophyta; Magnoliopsida; Arecales; Arecaceae. The record is from RNAcentral.